This 250-nucleotide small RNA is filed under the name Pongo abelii (Sumatran orangutan). RNAcentral's name for it is "sense intronic". The record is from RNAcentral. Lineage: Eukaryota; Metazoa; Chordata; Mammalia; Primates; Hominidae.
GAAUAUGAUACUGUUUAAGAGAAAAUGAAAAGGAUUACCAGUUUUUUAUAGUAUUUGAUUUUGUGAUGAUCUAUUAUAGCAAUAUUUAAUUUAGAAAUCCAAGAAAAUAAUUUUUGAAAUUUUCUACAUCUCUUCACAUUUUGAUGUAUCAUGGAAUCUUAGGUUUUAAUGUUGGUGAGUGAGGUGGGUGGAUCACCUAAGGUCAGGAGUUCGGGACCAGCCUGGCCAACAUGGUGAAACCCUGUCUCUA